This 605-nucleotide ribosomal RNA is filed under the name Globigerinoides ruber albus. RNAcentral's name for it is "partial small subunit ribosomal RNA". The stretch from base 1 to 543 matches the Rfam family "Eukaryotic small subunit ribosomal RNA", at positions 1291 to 1605 of the family's 1831-position model. The record is from RNAcentral. Lineage: Eukaryota; Foraminifera; Rotaliida; Globigerinidae.
UUCUUAGUUCGUGGAGUGAUCUGUCUGCUUAAUUGCGUUUCAAAUUUUUAACCGAGGACCGGGUUUUGGUUUGGCUAGUGGUCCUACGAUGACUGUGAACUGUCAUGUCUUCGGAUGUACGACUAUCGGUCUAGGAUCACAUGACUUGCCCCUGGGACUCUUUUGAACGCAACGGACGUGAUUGCAACCCCUUGUUGAGAUUAGAGAUAGUCUCGAUAUUCACUGGCCAAACUGGCUGCUUUAUGCAGUCUUGUUGAAUGGUGGAUAAACUCGGGGGACUGCUGACUAUAACCAUUUCUCAAAACAGAGGAAGGUUGCGGCAAUAACAGGUCUGUGAUGCCCUCAGAUGUCCCGGGCUGCACACGUGCUACAAUGAGUGGCGCAAUGUGCUAAUGUUUUAAGGGAUAAGCGUGCGGCCAGUAGAACGUCGGCAAUUGCCCUGGCGUCUUCUACCGCACGAUUAUCAGCCUUCCCUUAACAGGGCGGGCAACCUUUUCAAAAUACCGGUUUGAUGUUAAAGUAUAGAGUCGUUUUUUUUGGAUGGUGGUUUACGAACCAAUACCAUCCGCAACUGCUCGCGAGUUUGUGGUUCUGGUGACUCAUGG